UAAUAUUUAUGAUGUAUAAAUUCAAAGGAUUUGGCGGUAAAAUUAUUUUUUAGGGGAGUUUGUUUUUUAAUUCGAUAAUCCACGUUUAACCUUACUUUAAUUUAUGAUUUAUAUAUUUCCGUUAUUAGUUUAUCUUUAGAUAGUUUAAUUAACUAUUUAUUAUAUAUUAUAGUAUUAAAAUCAGGUAAAUAAGUAGUUUAUAUUAGAGGAUAAAAUGAACUACAAUUAAUUUAAUUAAGAUGAAUGGUAUUUUGAAAAUAUUUGUUUGAAAUUGAACUUAAAAGUAAAAUUUUAUUAGAAUGAUUUUUUGAAUAAGAUAAAAUUUUAUGU
This 330-nucleotide ribosomal RNA is filed under the name Austropallene cristata. RNAcentral's name for it is "partial 12S ribosomal RNA". The record is from RNAcentral. Lineage: Eukaryota; Metazoa; Arthropoda; Pycnogonida; Pantopoda; Callipallenidae.